RNAcentral lists this ribosomal RNA (429 nucleotides) under Gemmatimonadota bacterium. RNAcentral describes it as "Gemmatimonadetes bacterium partial 16S ribosomal RNA". It matches the Rfam family "Bacterial small subunit ribosomal RNA", at positions 355 to 776 of the family's 1533-position model. The record is from RNAcentral. Lineage: Bacteria; Pseudomonadati; Gemmatimonadota.
UAGGGAAUCUUCGGCAAUGGACGAAAGUCUGACCGAGCAACGCCGCGUGAGUGAAGAAGGUUUUCGGAUCGUAAAACUCUGUUGUUAGAGAAGAACAAGGACGUUAGUAACUGAACGUCCCCUGACGGUAUCUAACCAGAAAGCCACGGCUAACUACGUGCCAGCAGCCGCGGUAAUACGUAGGUGGCAAGCGUUGUCCGGAUUUAUUGGGCGUAAAGCGAGCGCAGGCGGUUUCUUAAGUCUGAUGUGAAAGCCCCCGGCUCAACCGGGGAGGGUCAUUGGAAACUGGGAGACUUGAGUGCAGAAGAGGAGAGUGAAAUUCCAUGUGUAGCGGUGAAAUGCGUAGAUAUAUGGAGGAACACCAGUGGCGAAGGCGGCUCUCUGGUCUGUAACUGACGCUGAGGCUCGAAAGCGUGGGGAGCAAACAGG